UCGGGGAUCGUCUAAUGGUAGGACGGCGGAUUCUGGUUCCGUCAAUCAAGGUUCGAAUCCUUGUCUCCGAA
Molecule: transfer RNA, 71 nt
Filed under: Pseudenhygromyxa salsuginis
Lineage: Bacteria; Pseudomonadati; Myxococcota; Nannocystales; Nannocystaceae
Also listed under: 1 other name
Description: tRNA-Gln
Rfam family: tRNA
About the family: Transfer RNA (tRNA) molecules are approximately 80 nucleotides in length. Their secondary structure includes four short double-helical elements and three loops (D, anti-codon, and T loops).
Source: RNAcentral